This 252-nucleotide ribosomal RNA is filed under the name uncultured bacterium. RNAcentral's name for it is "partial 16S ribosomal RNA". It matches the Rfam family "Bacterial small subunit ribosomal RNA", at positions 524 to 776 of the family's 1533-position model. The record is from RNAcentral.
UACGGAGGAUGCGAGCGUUAUCCGGAUUUAUUGGGUUUAAAGGGUGCGUAGGCGGACGCUUAAGUCAGCGGUAAAAUUGCGGGGCUCAACCUCGUCGAGCCGUUGAAACUGGUGGUCUUGAGUGGAUGAGAAGUACGCGGAAUGCGUGGUGUAGCGGUGAAAUGCAUAGAUAUCACGCAGAACUCCGAUUGCGAAGGCAGCGUACCGGCAUCCAACUGACGCUGAGGCACGAAAGCGUGGGGAUCAAACAGG